AUUCUGGUGUCUUAGGCGUAGAGGAACCACACCAAUCCAUCCCGAACUUGGUGGUGAAACUCUACUGCGGUGACAAUACUGUAGGGGAAGCCCUACGGAAAAAUAGCUCGACGCCAGGAUGAAAAAAAAGUUUAACAACU
RNAcentral lists this ribosomal RNA (140 nucleotides) under Nyholmiella obtusifolia. RNAcentral also lists the same sequence under 2 other names. Lineage: Eukaryota; Viridiplantae; Streptophyta; Bryopsida; Orthotrichales; Orthotrichaceae. The record is from RNAcentral.